CUUAUCGGUAGGCGAGGCUACCUCAGGGAUAUGGGUUACUGCCGCGGAGUAGUGGAGACACUAUGAGAAGGCCAACAGUCGGUGUCGUCAAAGGCAUGGACUAUGUAACUUCACUGCCCUGAGAGGCUAAAACUUGAACGAUG
RNAcentral lists this small RNA (143 nucleotides) under Desulfovibrio desulfuricans. Its description in RNAcentral is "M-box riboswitch (ykoK leader)". It matches the Rfam family "M-box riboswitch aptamer (ykoK leader)", at positions 11 to 159 of the family's 169-position model. Rfam says of the family: M-box riboswitch, also know as ykoK leader is described as a metaloregulatory RNA that sense divalent metals and function as a genetic control element of genes related to divalent metal transport in bacteria. It was first reported upstream of the B.subtilis ykoK gene and genes with related functions in other bacteria. Lineage: Bacteria; Pseudomonadati; Thermodesulfobacteriota; Desulfovibrionia; Desulfovibrionales; Desulfovibrionaceae. The record is from RNAcentral.